AAGAAUAUAAUUUAAUGGUAAAAUAGGAAGCUUCAAACUUCAAAUUCUCAGUUCAAAUCCGAGUAUUCUUG
RNAcentral lists this transfer RNA (71 nucleotides) under Lecanora cinereofusca. RNAcentral describes it as "tRNA-Trp". It matches the Rfam family "tRNA". Rfam says of the family: Transfer RNA (tRNA) molecules are approximately 80 nucleotides in length. Their secondary structure includes four short double-helical elements and three loops (D, anti-codon, and T loops). The record is from RNAcentral. Lineage: Eukaryota; Fungi; Ascomycota; Lecanoromycetes; Lecanorales; Lecanoraceae.